AUGUUGGUUAUGUCCAACAUAUGCCAUCAAAAUCUUUCACUUGGCAACACCAGCCUAACAUAUGCAAUCUAUUUCCUGCUGCUUGCUGGGGAGAUCACUCGGCUGCACUGCAUCCCCGGAUGUUGCCCAUCUUAUCCAAUAUACUACCCAUUUCACAUAUUUGAGGAGCAUGAUGAUGGGCAAGUCAAGAUGACAGUAGUCGGUCCUGAUUUACGGAAAGGGCAGAGAUCGCAGUACACGGUCGCUCAGAAUGUGUGGUUUGGCGCCUUCCUUACCCACGACACCGAGUCCUUCACUGAUGACUAUAAGAGUUUCAGUAUGGGAGUUGAUAUACAUGUAAUCAAGUAUGGAAGUUCAGUAAGGCAAAAGAGGUUUGAAUUUGAUAGACAAAGGCAUAGAAGGCAGCAGGAAUUAUUGAUGGAUAACUCAAAUUGCAACAUCCACUCGAUCGUGCUUAGCUCCAAGACUCAUCCUCCUGCCAUGUUGGCUCAGUCGUUUUUUAUGCGCUUCAGUUCUUUGUCCAUCAUUAGACCAACAUGCUGCAGUUGGGCUGCACACCAAAUUAUCAUGCCGGCUUCGAUGAAGCAGCACUUGUAUGGCUUCUGGUUCAAUAAGUAUGGGAAGAAGAGGCAUAAGAGAGGAGGGUUGCAAGACAAAAUGUAUUGCCUAUUAUGGCCUCGUGUGCCACUGACACUCCUCCUCAAAUACUUGCAGACCUGCGGAUGUGCAAACCCCCGUAUUACUAAACCCUGGUUUCUUGCUAGAGCAAAUACAAGCAGACUUGCUGUUUAA
RNAcentral lists this ribosomal RNA (792 nucleotides) under Triticum aestivum (bread wheat). RNAcentral describes it as "partial small subunit ribosomal RNA". Lineage: Eukaryota; Viridiplantae; Streptophyta; Magnoliopsida; Poales; Poaceae. The record is from RNAcentral.